GACGAACGCUGGCGGCGUGCUUAACACAUGCAAGUCGAACGAUGAAGCCGGAGCUUGCUCUGGUGAAUUAGUGGCGAACGGGUGAGUAACACGUGAGUAACCUGCCCUUGACUCUGGGAUAACUGCGGGAAACUGUAGCUAAUACCGGAUACGACCCUCGGAGGCAUCUCCUGGGGGUGGAAAGAACUUCGGUCAAGGGUGGACUCGCGGCCUAUUCGCUAGUUGGUGAGGUAAAGGCUCACCAAGGCGACGACGGGUAGCCGGCCUGAGAGGGUGACCGGCCACACUGGGACUGAGACACGGCCCAGACUCCUACGGGAGGCAGCAGUGGGGAAUAUUGCACAAUGGGCGCAAGCCUGAUGCAGCAACGCCGCGUGAGGGAUGACGGCCUUCGGGUUGUAAACCUCUUUUAGCAGGGAAGAAGCGAAAGUGACGGUACCUGCAGAAAAAGCACCGGCUAACUACGUGCCAGCCGCCGCAGUAA
Molecule: ribosomal RNA, 484 nt
Filed under: uncultured bacterium
Lineage: Bacteria
Description: partial 16S ribosomal RNA
Rfam family: Bacterial small subunit ribosomal RNA
Source: RNAcentral